CGGUCCUGCGGCAGCGCCUUUCCCCGGCAGGGGGGGCGGUGUUCUCCUGCACCGGCUGCCGGCCCUCAACAUCCCUCCUGUAACGAGCAUCGUUGGCUUAACUUGGUAACGCUGUGGCUUCAGCCUUCACAGCACAAAGUAAAUGUACGCUUUCACCUCAGUAUCAAUGAGUUCGCCUCUUAGCUCCCUUUUCUAAAUUUAUUUGCCGCUUUAGCCUGUCAACCGUAGCCAAGCUGCAUAAAUUUGACUGCCAAAAAAAGGUAAAAUGAGGAAGUGUUACCACAAACACUCUUUUCAACAUCAAACCACUGGGUGUCACUAUCGAUCUUACGUGGAUGUUAACCGUAAUUCCAUUUUCAUAGUAAACCAGCAAUUUUUAACGAUUCAUACAAUAUUGGGAGCUAGGCAUAUUCUUCCUCAGGCAUGUAUUCCAAAAUAAAUAUUUUGCUUCCACUGGCCGUUUCAGGAGAUUUUCAACUCGGUGAUUUCAGCGUUGUUCCUCCUCGUUGUGUGCCUGUUUGCAGUAAUAAUCAAGACCAACAAUGGGACACUGGCUGGAGGAGUGCUUGGUCUUGUAUUGCUUAUUCUCUGCGUUGUGGACGCUGUUCUUCUCUCCCAGAAGAUUAGCCUUGAUAGACCAAGAAGAAGGACUACUCCUGCAAAA
Athene cunicularia (burrowing owl) is the source of this 664-nucleotide long non-coding RNA. RefSeq lists it as uncharacterized. The record is from RefSeq and is a predicted model, not a curated record. The transcript is spliced from 2 exons. NCBI's taxonomy places the organism in Eukaryota, Metazoa, Chordata, Aves, Strigiformes, Strigidae.